RNAcentral lists this ribosomal RNA (443 nucleotides) under uncultured bacterium. RNAcentral's name for it is "partial 16S ribosomal RNA". It matches the Rfam family "Bacterial small subunit ribosomal RNA", at positions 338 to 795 of the family's 1533-position model. The record is from RNAcentral.
CCUACGGGUGGCAGCAGUGGGGAAUAUUGCACAAUGGGGGAAACCCUGAUGCAGCAACGCCGCGUGAGGGAAGACGGCUUUCGGAUUGUAAACUUCUAUCAAUAGGGAAGAAAGAAAUGACGGUACCCAAAUAAGGAGCCCCCGCUAAAUACGUGCCAGCAGCCGCGGUAAUACGUAGGGGGCAAGCGUUAUCCGGAAUUACUGGGUGUAAAGGGAGAGUAGGCGGCAAGGUAAGCGAGAUGUGAAAGCCUGAGGCUUAACCGGAGGAUUGCAUAAGGAACUAUCUAGCUAGAGUACAGGAGAGGAAAGCGGAAUUCCUGGUGUAGCGGUGAAAUGCGUAGAUAUUAGGAAGAACACCAGUGGCGAAGGCGGCUUUCUGGACUGAAACUGACGCUGAGGCUCGAAAGCGUGGGGAGCGAACAGGAUUAGAUACCCCUGUAGUC